AUAAUGGGUCAGCGACUUAUAUUCUGUAGCAAGGUUAACCGAAUAGGGGAGCCGAAGGGAAACCGAGUCUUAACUGGGCGUUAAGUUGCAGGGUAUAGACCCGAAACCCGGUGAUCUAGCCAUGGGCAGGUUGAAGGUUGGGUAACACUAACUGGAGGACCGAACCGACUAAUGUUGAAAAAUUAGCGGAUGACUUGUGGCUGGGGGUGAAAGGCCAAUCAAACCGGGAGAUAGCUGGUUCUCCCCGAAAGCUAUUUAGGUAGCGCCUCGUGAAUUCAUCUCCGGGGGUAGAGCACUGUUUCGGCAAGGGGGUCAUCCCGACUUACCAACCCGAUGCAAACUGCGAAUACCGGAGAAUGUUAUCACGGGAGACACACGGCGGGUGCUAACGUCCGUCGUGAAGAGGGAAACAACCCAGACCGCCAGCUAAGGUCCCAAAGUCAUGGUUAAGUGGGAAACGAUGUGGGAAGGCCCAGACAGCCAGGAUGUUGGCUUAGAAGCAGCCAUCAUUUAAAGAAAGCGUAAUAGCUCACUGGUCGAGUCGGCCUGCGCGGAAGAUGUAACGGGGCUAAACCAUGCACCGAAGCUGCGGCAGCGACGCUGAUGCGUUGUUGGGUAGGGGAGCGUUCUGUAAGCCUGCGAAGGUGUGCUGUGAGGCAUGCUGGAGGUAUCAGAAGUGCGAAUGCUGACAUAAGUAACGAUAAAGCGGGUGAAAAGCCCGCUCGCCGGAAGACCAAGGGUUCCUGUCCAACGUUAAUCGGGGCAGGGUGAGUCGACCCCUAAGGCGAGGCCGAAAGGCGUAGUCGAUGGGAAACAGGUUAAUAUUCCUGUACUUGGUGUUACUGCGAAGGGGGGACGGAGAAGGCUAUGUUGGCCGGGCGACGGUUGUCCCGGUUUAAGCGUGUAGGCUGGUUUUCCAGGCAAAUCCGGAAAAUCAAGGCUGAGGCGUGAUGACGAGGCACUACGGUGCUGAAGCAACAAAUGCCCUGCUUCCAGGAAAAGCCUCUAAGCAUCAGGUAACAUCAAAUCGUACCCCAAACCGACACAGGUGGUCAGGUAGAGAAUACCAAGGCGCUUGAGAGAACUCGGGUGAAGGAACUAGGCAAAAUGGUGCCGUAACUUCGGGAGAAGGCACGCUGAUAUGUAGGUGAAGUCCCUCGCGGAUGGAGCUGAAAUCAGUCGAAGAUACCAGCUGGCUGCAACUGUUUAUUAAAAACACAGCACUGUGCAAACACGAAAGUGGACGUAUACGGUGUGACGCCUGCCCGGUGCCGGAAGGUUAAUUGAUGGGGUUAGCGCAAGCGAAGCUCUUGAUCGAAGCCCC
Molecule: ribosomal RNA, 1324 nt
Filed under: Escherichia coli
Lineage: Bacteria; Pseudomonadati; Pseudomonadota; Gammaproteobacteria; Enterobacterales; Enterobacteriaceae
Description: partial 23S ribosomal RNA
Rfam family: Bacterial large subunit ribosomal RNA
Source: RNAcentral